UCAAUAAUAACUUUGGCAGCAUUAAUA
This 27-nucleotide non-coding RNA is filed under the name Bombyx mori (domestic silkworm). The record is from RNAcentral. Lineage: Eukaryota; Metazoa; Arthropoda; Insecta; Lepidoptera; Bombycidae.